Molecule: small RNA, 349 nt
Filed under: Pongo abelii (Sumatran orangutan)
Lineage: Eukaryota; Metazoa; Chordata; Mammalia; Primates; Hominidae
Description: retained intron
Rfam family: mir-1909 microRNA precursor family (bases 154-225)
Source: RNAcentral
UGCGCAGGCCCCACGUGCGCUGACCUCUGCCGCUGCCCACAGGUCAUCCACAGCACCGUGGUGGACACGUCUGUGCUCUUCCCCCACCGCCUGGGCCUCCCCUACAAGCGGUCCCUGCGGAACCUCAUGGCCGACUACCUCAGACAGAUCAUCCAGGACAAUGGUGAGUGCCGGUGCCUGCCCUGGGGCCGUCCCUGCGUGGGGGCUGGGUGCUCACCGCAUCUGCCCUGCAGUGGACGGGCACAGCUCCAGCGAGGACGCCGGCGCCUGCAUGCACCUGGUGAUCUGGAAGGUUCGAGAAGACGCCAAGACCAAGCGAUGACGCCUGCCCGCCUCCCACCCGCCUCUC